Molecule: long non-coding RNA, 1479 nt
Organism: Bombus pascuorum
Lineage: Eukaryota; Metazoa; Arthropoda; Insecta; Hymenoptera; Apidae
Exons: 2
Source: RefSeq, a predicted model, not a curated record
AGUUUUAAACGGCUUUAGUUUUCUCCCGUUCCUUUUCCUCCUUUUUUCUUCCUUCCACUUCAGUAUGGACUAAUUUUAGGCAUUCGUAAAUAAAAUUUAUGGACUAAUAUCGGCAUGCCUGGAUAAUAAUUAUUAUCAUUUUUGUUGUUAUCCGCGACUUUAUAAGCAAAAUUUACUACUUCAUAAAUUUAAAUGUUUCUAAUACAAAGUUUAUAUUACAUAUUUCCAACGAUUAUCACGAAAGGCUCAUUUUAUUGCUUCACGCAAUGAUUCAUACAUCUAUUUAUAUGUGAAAAAGCUUCAAUAUUGCGGUAUAUAUAAGAAGCACAAUAUUGCUAUGAGAAUCAAUCAGGUAGCAAUAUGAAUCAAUCGGUGAAACUUUUUGUCUUCCUUUUCGCCAUUAUUCUCAUGUCAAACUGCUUCAUUACGCUCGCUGACGCUAAGUGCAUCUGUAAAAAUGGGCGCCCGAUUUCUGGUAGUCUAGGCCUGAUCUGUAUAGUACGUUAUAAAUAUUGAACCAUAUUAAUCGAUAAUACAAUAUGUUAAUUGAGAAUACUUUCUUUUAGAAAAUCUGUCUGAUCCAACAAGCACAAGGAUAAAUAUAUAUAUCGAUAUGGCACACCACUAUUAUUAAUUUUUCUUGUGUGAUUCAGUAUUAUUAGAAAAUGAAGCAUACUUACAAAAAAACAUAUUCAUGUCUUUUCCUGUGAUCUUCACGUAUAUCUGUCAAAUCACGUGCAAUCCCAGUAGGGUUAAAUGUCAACCACGUCGCUAAGGAAGCCAUGGUAAACCGGUCAGGUUUCUCGCGAACUGUAUAAUGACGUCCCUGAAAUCGGUAUCUCAGGAAUUCGAUAGCGUGUGCUACAGCGAUUGUACAUCAGAAACCGCAGGGAGCAGUCGUUCGAAGAUCAGCUGAUUCCCCGGGAGGCUUCCAGCGAUGGUUCAGCCGUACCCCUUUCCCUUCAGAAUAGUUCCAUCCCUAACUUGUAUAAGCGAGGUUCUUCGACCUCCCCCUAUGUUCAGCCAACAGCCAUUCACAUUCUGCACUAUUCCACACGCCAUUCGCUUGAAAUUUACCGUCCGGCAGAUUGCGAGAAACAAACGGUUCCUCUGCUCACUUCCAAGACUACUUGAAUCCCGAUUCAACGGUGAACUAACGGCUCCGCGCUUUUGGGAAGAAGCUUCGUCGUUGCCUCGUGAUGCGGUUACUGGUAGAGAGAAAUACACUUACUACUGGAUAAAAUGGAAAACCACUGAAUGGCGAAUAGAAUGGUGGACCUCUAUGAAAUGGAAAACUGUUCUAUAGAAUGGGGACAUCGUUCCACGAUUUCCCGGUUUUUGUCAAAAUUGUAACGGACUCCUCUUUUCCAUCAAACAACAUUUUGAUUUCCAAUUAAAAAUAUUUUUCCGACUGGAGAGAUGAAAGUAUAUCAUAUAAAGUUUGGAUAAAAUACAAGGAAAAUAAUGUUACAUGAAAAA